This 440-nucleotide ribosomal RNA is filed under the name uncultured bacterium. Its description in RNAcentral is "partial 16S ribosomal RNA". It matches the Rfam family "Bacterial small subunit ribosomal RNA", at positions 338 to 795 of the family's 1533-position model. The record is from RNAcentral.
CCUACGGGAGGCAGCAGUGGGGAAUAUUGCACAAUGGGGGAAACCCUGAUGCAGCAACGCCGCGUGAGGGAAGAAGUAUUUCGGUAUGUAAAGCUCUAUCAGCAGGGAAGAAAAUGACAGUACCUGACUAAGAAGCCCCGGCUAACUACGUGCCAGCAGCCGCGGUAAUACGGAGGGGGCAAGCGUUAUCCGGAUUUACUGGGUGUAAAGGGAGCGUAGACGGCUGCGCAAGUCAGAAGUGAAAGUGCGGGGCUCAACCGCGGGCCUGCAGUUGAAACCGGGUAGCGAGAGUGCAGGAAAGGUAAGUGGAAUUCCUAGUGUAGCGGUGAAAUGCGUAGAUAUUAGGAGGAACACCGAUGGCGAAGGCAGCUUACUGGACUGUAACUGACGUUGAGGCUCGAAAGCGCGGGGAGCGAACAGGAUGAGAUACCCGUGUAGUC